CAAUAGCGUAUAUUAAAGUUGUUGCAGUUAAAAAGCUCGUAGUUGGAUUUCUGAUCGAGACAUCAGGUCGGGUCCGAGAGGAUCAUGUACUUUGAUUUUGUUUUGAUCAUCCUUGGGGAGAGCAUUUCUGGCAUUCAGUUGUCGGGAUUGGGAUCCUCAUCGUUUACUGUGAAAAAAUUAGAGUGUUCAAAGCAGGCCUCGGCCUCUGAAUACAUUAGCAUGGAAUAAUAAGAUAGGACUUUGGUGGUCUAUUUUGUUGGUUUGCACGCCAAAGUAAUGAUUAAUAGGGAUAGUUGGGGGUAUUCGUAUUCAAUUGUCAGAGGUGAAAUUCUUGGAGUUAUGGAAGACGAACUACUGCGAAAGCAUUUACCAAGGAUGUUUUCAUUAA
This 388-nucleotide ribosomal RNA is filed under the name uncultured eukaryote. RNAcentral's name for it is "partial 18S ribosomal RNA". It matches the Rfam family "Eukaryotic small subunit ribosomal RNA", at positions 592 to 976 of the family's 1831-position model. The record is from RNAcentral.